GAGUUGUAAUCUGGAGAAGCGUUUUCCGUGUCGGACCGUGYACAAGUCUCUUGGAACAGAGCGUCAUAGAGGGUGAGAAUCCCGUUUUAUGGCACGGACACCCGAUACUUUGUGAUACGUUUUCUAAGAGUCGAGUUGUUUGGGAAUGCAGCUCAAAAUGGGUGGUAAAUUCCAUCUAAAGCUAAAUAUAGGCGAGAGACCGAUAGCGAACAAGUACCGUGAGGGAAAGAUGAAAAGCACUUUGGAAAGAGAGUUAAACAGUACGUGAAAUUGUUGAAAGGGAAACGCUUGAAGUCAGUCGCGUCUUCUAGGACUCAGCCUUACUUCGGUUAGGUGUACUUCCUGGUUUGACGGGUCAACAUCGAUUUUGAUCGACGGAUAAAGGAGAAGGGAACGUGGCACCUCCGGGUGUGUUAUAGCCCUCUUCGUAUACGUCGAUUGGGAUCGAGGACUGCAGCACGCCCUUGUGGCCGGGGGUUCGCCCUACGUAUCGUGCUUAGGAUGUUGACAUAAUGGCUUUAAGCGACCCGUCUUGAAACACGGACCAAGGAGUCUAACAUGCUCGCGAGUGUUAGGGUGGAAAACCCUUGCGCGUAAUGAAAGUGAAAGUUGGGACCUCUGCGAGGAGGGCACCGACGCCCGGCCCUGAAGUUCUCUGACGGUGCUGCGGUAGAGCGCGUAUGUUGGGACCCGAAAGAUGGUGAACUAUGCCUGAUAGGGCGAAGCCAGAGGAAACUC
This 738-nucleotide ribosomal RNA is filed under the name Trichaptum abietinum. RNAcentral's name for it is "Hirschioporus abietinus partial large subunit ribosomal RNA". The record is from RNAcentral. Lineage: Eukaryota; Fungi; Basidiomycota; Agaricomycetes; Hymenochaetales; Trichaptaceae.